AUUGAACGCUGGCGGCAGGCCUAACACGUGCAAGUCGAGCGGAUGAAGGGAGCUUGCUCCUGGAUUCAGCGGCGGACGGGUGAGUAAUGCCUAGGAAUCUGCCUGGUAGUGGGGGAUAACGUCCGGAAACGGGCGCUAAUACCGCAUACGUCCUGAGGGAGAAAGUGGGGGAUCUUCGGACCUCACGCUAUCAGAUGAGCCUAGGUCGGAUUAGCUAGUUGGUGGGGUAAAGGCCUACCAAGGCGACGAUCCGUAACUGGUCUGAGAGGAUGAUCAGUCACACUGGAACUGAGACACGGUCCAGACUCCUACGGGAGGCAGCAGUGGGGAAUAUUGGACAAUGGGCGAAAGCCUGAUCCAGCCAUGCCGCGUGUGUGAAGAAGGUCUUCGGAUUGUAAAGCACUUUAAGUUGGGAGGAAGGGCAGUAAGUUAAUACCUUGCUGUUUUGACGUUACCAACAGAAUAAGCGCCGGCUAACUUCGU
RNAcentral lists this ribosomal RNA (483 nucleotides) under uncultured bacterium. RNAcentral's name for it is "partial 16S ribosomal RNA". It matches the Rfam family "Bacterial small subunit ribosomal RNA", at positions 30 to 506 of the family's 1533-position model. The record is from RNAcentral.